UUUGUUGUGGGCUGAAAACAUGUUAUUCAACAAGCCUUUCAGAUGUGGCUCCCCUUCCUAUGUCGCAUGCAGGCUCAUUAGAACACACUACCCUCCCUCUGAGAAUCACCACCCACAGCUUGAGAACUACCUUUGCAAAGGUGUGCCGUAUUUUUCUCACAAGCCAAUCAGAUCAGACUAGGCUUUUUUUGUGAGAGGGCUUAAAGAGACAAGUGCUAAAACUGAGCAUUUCAGACAGAAGGUGAUUAUAGCUAUCUUCAGACAAUUAGUAUGGAAAACAAAAUGUGUUUUUUGAACAUAAAAGCAUGUAAAUAUGUUCUAGCAAGAACCCAUAAUACAAGAAUGAAUGUAUAAACGGUCAUGAUAUGUCUUAUUUAAAGUUGCACGGAGCAGCAGGGCAUACGGGGGGCUCCCAAUGGCUGCGAGUGGUAACAGUCUGACAUAAAGUAAACCUAGAAAUCCUGAAAACCCAGAUAUGCUUUACCAACACAGCCAGUCAGUGAUGCUUUUAUUCCAAUUGAUACCAAAGAGAUAACAGGAGCAAAAAGAAUAACAGCAUGAAAUACGGCUUGGAAGAGUUGAAUUCAGCCUUCAUGUUCUGCGUCACCGUUGACCGCACAGUUCAUUCUAACAUUCAGGACUGGUCAUUUUCCUCAGCUUUGGACAGACUUAGGCUAAUGUUUUCUGAGCAGGCAGCACCAUUAAAGAGUGAGUCACACCUGAUCCCUCACACACAAAACAGCCUUUAUUUUAUUGUGAAGGACACAUACACAGCCUUGAGCAUGAUGUGAAAACCAAGACAAACUGUGUUGAGAGUGUUCUGGAGGCCAGGC
Molecule: long non-coding RNA, 833 nt
Organism: Etheostoma cragini (Arkansas darter)
Lineage: Eukaryota; Metazoa; Chordata; Actinopteri; Perciformes; Percidae
Exons: 4
Source: RefSeq, a predicted model, not a curated record